Molecule: ribosomal RNA, 325 nt
Filed under: uncultured eukaryote
Lineage: Eukaryota
Description: partial 18S ribosomal RNA
Rfam family: Eukaryotic small subunit ribosomal RNA
Source: RNAcentral
CCCUUAGAUGUCCUGGGCCGCACGCGCGCUACACUGACAUGUUCAACAAGCCUCCUAGUUCGACAGGAUUUGGGAAAUCUUUGAACGCAUGUCGUGAUAGGGAUAGAUCAUUGCAAUUAUUGAUCUUGAACGAGGAAUUCCUAGUAAGCGCAAGUCAUCAGCUUGCGUUGAUUACGUCCCUGCCCUUUGUACACACCGCCCGUCGCUACUACCGAUUGAAUGGCUUAGUGAGGCUUCCGGAUUGGUUUAGAGAAGGGGGCAACUCCAUCUUGGAACCGAGAAGCUAGUCAAACUUGGUCAUUUAGAGGAAGUAAAAGUCGUAACA